RNAcentral lists this ribosomal RNA (320 nucleotides) under uncultured eukaryote. Its description in RNAcentral is "partial 18S ribosomal RNA". It matches the Rfam family "Eukaryotic small subunit ribosomal RNA", at positions 1470 to 1796 of the family's 1831-position model. The record is from RNAcentral.
CCCCUAGAUGUUCUGGGCCGCACGCGCGCUACACUGAACAGUUCAACAAGUCUUAACCUUGGCCGAUAGGUCUGGGUAAUCUUUGAACGCUGUUCGUGAUUGGGAUAGACCUUUGCAAUUAUGGGUCUUCAACGAGGAAUUCCUAGUAAACGCAAGUCAUCAGCUUGCAUUGAUUACGUCCCUGCCCUUUGUACACACCGCCCGUCGCACCUACCGAUUGAAUGGUCCGGUGAAAUCUCGGGACGGCGGCUUGGUCGCUUGCGUCCGACUGCUGAAACUUGAUUAAACCAUNUNAUUUAUNGGAAGGUGAANUCGUANCA